This is a long non-coding RNA of Erpetoichthys calabaricus (reedfish), 397 nucleotides long. RefSeq lists it as uncharacterized. The record is from RefSeq and is a predicted model, not a curated record. NCBI's taxonomy places the organism in Eukaryota, Metazoa, Chordata, Cladistia, Polypteriformes, Polypteridae. The transcript has 2 exons.
CAAAUGCUUGAAAUUUAUGGUUGUGGUUGUUUACAAUGUCAUCCGUUGCACUUUGCCAAAGUAAGUUGUAGGGCUCUUGGAAGUCUCACACAGUCAGUAGGAAUUUACCAGUUGUCCAAGAAAUCAAAACCAGUCUUCAAAACACUGCUGCUUAUUCUUACCUGGGAAAACAGGUUUUCUUCAAAAAUUGACUCGUCCUUAUCAUUCUCUUUAGUAGCUGAAUCUUUGCUGUCCGGGGCAGGUGUGAAAACUUCGUCAAAAGUACUAACAGAUGCAUGAGGGGUCUGGGACUUCUCCCACUCUGCCACCGUUGAAGAGACGCUAACAGGCUUUUCUUGUUUGGAGGCCAACUGUUUGUCUGUUUUGUGCUCUUCCUUAUCUUUUGAUGAAGACUCCU